Molecule: ribosomal RNA, 497 nt
Filed under: uncultured bacterium
Lineage: Bacteria
Description: partial 16S ribosomal RNA
Rfam family: Bacterial small subunit ribosomal RNA
Source: RNAcentral
GAUGAACGCUGGCGGCGUGCCUAAUACAUGCAAGUCGAGCGAACAGACGAGGAGCUUGCUCCUCUGACGUUAGCGGCGGACGGGUGAGUAACACGUGGAUAACCUACCUAUAAGACUGGGAUAACUUCGGGAAACCGGAGCUAAUACCGGAUAAUAUAUUGAACCGCAUGGUUCAAUAGUGAAAGACGGUUUUGCUGUCUCUUAUAGAUGGAUCCGCGCCGCAUUAGCUAGUUGGUAAGGUAACGGCUUACCAAGGCGACGAUGCGUAGCCGACCUGAGAGGGGGGUCGGCCGCACGGGAGCUGGGCCGCGGUCCAUACUCCUGCGGGAGGGAGCAGUAGGGAAUCUUCCGCAGUGGGCGGGAACCUGGCGGAACAGCGGCACGUGAGUGGUAGAAAUCUUGCGUUCGUAAAGCUCUGUUUUUAGGGAAAAACAAAUGUGGAAUUAACUGUGCACGUCUUGACGGUACCGGGUCAGAAAGCCACGGCUAACUACGUG